GGCGGCAUGCCUAAUACAUGCAAGUCGAGCGGGAGUGCUUGCACUCCAGUGGCGAACGGGUGAGUAACACGUAUCUAAUCUACCUUUUAGUGGGGGAUAACCUUUGGAAACGAAGGAUAAUACCGCAUAAGUUCUUCAUUAUGACAUCAGAAGAAGAGGAAAGAUCCGUUUGGAUCGCUAAAAGAUGAGGAUGCGGCGUAUUAGUUAGUAGGCGGGGUAAAGGCCCACCUAGACGAUGAUACGUAGCCGAACUGAGAGGUUGAUCGGCCACAUUGGGACUGAGAUACGGCCCAGACUCCUACGGGAGGCAGCAGUAGGGAAUUUUUCACAAUGGACGAAAGUCUGAUGAAGCAAUGCCGCGUGAGUGAUGAAGGUCUUCGGAUUGUAAAGCUCUGUUGUAAGGGAAGAAUAAGCCAGGAAGGAAAUGUCUUGGUGAUGACGGUACCUUACCAGAAAGCCCCGGCUAACUAUGUGCCAGCCGCCGCAGUAAUAC
This 493-nucleotide ribosomal RNA is filed under the name uncultured Mesoplasma sp. RNAcentral's name for it is "bacterial SSU rRNA". It matches the Rfam family "Bacterial small subunit ribosomal RNA", at positions 38 to 526 of the family's 1533-position model. Lineage: Bacteria; Bacillati; Mycoplasmatota; Mollicutes; Entomoplasmatales; Entomoplasmataceae. The record is from RNAcentral.